AGCGCGAUGGGGCCGGGGACACGCGUGGGGCGGCCACGCUCCUGUCGGGGGAGGUCAGGGCUGGGCUGUGUGGGGGGUUAUUACGUGGGGGUCACAAGCCCCCCCAGCUCUGCCGCUCCCCGGGAAAAGGCGGGAGGGGCUCUGAGAGGCACCGGCUGGGAGAGGAGCGGGGCCGGGGCCGGGGGAAAUGAUGAGCGGUCGGGGGGGGUCAGGCUGGCCUCGGGGACCUCCCUUAGCUGGGCUGGAGAGGACGGUAGCGGCCCCGGGGCAGGCUGGGAGAUGUAGUUCCUGACUCUCCCGUGAGCGGAUGUGACGUCGCGGGCAGGCGGAGCCGAGUUGCAAACGAGCCCGGGCCGCUGCGGCUCUGCCGGGCUCUGCGGGGCCGUUGGAGCCUCUCCCCGGGCGGAGAAGGAUGUGUGACUGAGAUCAGGGCUCCUAUCGUACUGAGCGUGGCCCUGUUCUGCCAGCUGAUGCAGAGACCUCAAUUGAGAUCUGGGCCCUGUUCUAACAGGCGGUGAAGAGAUCCCAGGUGAGAUCAGACCCCACUGUUGUUCCAGGCUACAGCAUAACGUCCACGUUUUGCUCCAGAUCAUCCCAUCCUCCCAGGGGGAAGGCAAUGGCUGCAAUGGAGCUGGCUAAGGGGCCGGUGACUUUCGAGGAGGUGGCUGUGUA
Molecule: long non-coding RNA, 672 nt
Organism: Gopherus evgoodei (Goodes thornscrub tortoise)
Lineage: Eukaryota; Metazoa; Chordata; Testudines; Testudinidae
Exons: 4
Source: RefSeq, a predicted model, not a curated record